This 598-nucleotide ribosomal RNA is filed under the name uncultured bacterium. Its description in RNAcentral is "bacterial SSU rRNA". It matches the Rfam family "Bacterial small subunit ribosomal RNA", at positions 874 to 1498 of the family's 1533-position model. The record is from RNAcentral.
UGGGGAGUACGGCCGCAAGGUUAAAACUCAAAGGAAUAGACGGGGACCUACACAAGCGGUGGAGCGUGUGGUUUAAUUCGACAAUAAGCGAGGAACCUUACCAAGACUUGACAUCUUCCGGAUCCACUCGAAAGAGAGGAGUGCCGUAAGGAACGGAAUGACAGGUGCUGCAUGGUUGUCGUCAGCUCGUGCCUUGAGGUGUUCGGUUAAGUCCGUAAACGAGCGCAACCCUCGUCCUUAGUUGUAUUUUUCUAAGGAGACUGCCUGGCAUAACCAGGAGGAAGGUGAGGAUGACGUCAAAUCAGCAUGGCCCUUAUGUCUUGGGCGACACACGCGCUACAAUGGCCGGUACAAUGGGCAGCCAAGGGGUAACCUGGAGCGAAUCCCCCAAAACCGGUCUCAGUUCGGAUUGAGGGCUGCAACUCGCCCUCAUGAAGUUGGAAUCGCUAGUAAACGUGAAUCAGCCAUGUCGCGUUGAAUAUGUUCCUAGGUCUUGUACUCACCGCCCGUCAAGUGAUGAAAGGAAAGGGCGCCCGAAGUCCCUGCUAGGCAGGGCCUAAGGUGAAAUUUCUAAUUGGCACUAAGUCGUAACAAGGUA